AUGAUAGAAUGUUGCUUACACUAUUAUGUUUUCCUUACAGUGUUUAGUUGAUUGCGUGUCUCAAGAUGAACGAUGUCCAUACCCUGAUUGUUCAGUAGAAAUUGGUUGCACAUCUGACGAAAUAGUACAUUUUAAAGAAUUACUUUUUAAAAUGUUCACUGAAUAUGAAGAAAUAUACACAGAGAGUAGUGGUACAGGCCGUGACGAGAACUAUGUUAAUGUAGCAGUUUUGACAGGGGAAUUGACUAGAAUUCCUUUCACACUAAGCAUGACAGUUUUGAACUUAAAAGAACAAAUCCGGAAACGCCUGAACCAUGAGACGUCUAAACAAAAAUUGAUAUACAGAGGAAAAGAAAUGACUGUAAGUAUGUUUUAAUGUGCUCGUGCUUGGCUCUGCAAAAAGAAAUUUAUAUCAGCCAAAAAGUAUUAAAAAAAA
This 436-nucleotide long non-coding RNA is filed under the name Mytilus galloprovincialis (Mediterranean mussel). Lineage: Eukaryota; Metazoa; Mollusca; Bivalvia; Mytilida; Mytilidae. The record is from RNAcentral.